AUACUUAUCUGGCAGGGGAGACACCUUGAUCAUGAAGGAGGUUUUCCCAGGGUGAGGCUCAGACACUGAACUCUGGCUGUGCUGAUUCCGGUGCUUUCCCCUAACAACCACCACCACCACCACCAAGCUGCUGGGAAUAUUUUCCAAUUUGUUUACAAAUCU
Molecule: small nuclear RNA, 162 nt
Filed under: Salvator merianae (Argentine black and white tegu)
Lineage: Eukaryota; Metazoa; Chordata; Lepidosauria; Squamata; Teiidae
Description: U1 spliceosomal RNA (ENSSMRG00000012147.1)
Rfam family: U1 spliceosomal RNA
About the family: U1 is a small nuclear RNA (snRNA) component of the spliceosome (involved in pre-mRNA splicing). Its 5' end forms complementary base pairs with the 5' splice junction, thus defining the 5' donor site of an intron. There are significant differences in sequence and secondary structure between metazoan and yeast U1 snRNAs, the latter being much longer (568 nucleotides as compared to 164 nucleotides in human).
Source: RNAcentral